UGGGGAAUAUUGCACAAUGGGCGCAAGCCUGAUGCAGCCAUGCCGCGUGUGUGAAGAAGGCCUUCGGGUUGUAAAGCACUUUCAGCGGGGAGGAAGGCGAUAAGGCUAAUAACCUUGUCGAUUGACGUUACCCGCAGAAGAAGCACCGGCUAACUCCGUGCCAGCAGCCGCGGUAAUACGGAGGGUGCAAGCGUUAAUCGGAAUUACUGGGCGUAAAGCGCACGCAGGCGGUCUGUCAAGUCGGAUGUGAAAUCCCCGGGCUCAACCUGGGAACUGCAUUCGAAAGUGGCAGGCUAGAGUAUUGUAGAGGGGGGUAGAAGUCCAGGUGUAGCGGUGAAAUGCGUAGAGAUCUGGAGGAAUACCGGUGGCGAAGGCGACCCCAUGGACAAAGACUGACGCUCAGGUGCGAAAGCGUGGGGAGCAAACAGG
This 429-nucleotide ribosomal RNA is filed under the name Chloroflexota bacterium. RNAcentral describes it as "Chloroflexi bacterium partial 16S ribosomal RNA". It matches the Rfam family "Bacterial small subunit ribosomal RNA", at positions 355 to 776 of the family's 1533-position model. Lineage: Bacteria; Bacillati; Chloroflexota. The record is from RNAcentral.